AUGAUGUCGUACCUAUUCCCGGUAACUUCUUUCUUUCGAGUUUGUGAUUCAUGUAGUGCCUUGAAGAAGUAUAUAGAGUUUAAAAAACCCAGUGGAUAAAAUGAUAUUACCAGCGAUAUUACUUACUGUUAAGUUGCUUCAAUUUUCAGGGACAACUAAGAUGAAAAACCUUGAUGACAAUAUUGACUCCUUGAGGAUUAAACUUACAAAAGAGGAUCUGAAAGAAAUUUCUGACGCUGUGCCCAUAGAAGAGGUAGCAGGAAACAGAGACCCGGAAGGCUUUGAUAAAGCAUCGUGGAAGUUUGCAAACACACCUCCAAAAGACUGCAAGGUUUGAACUUAAAAUAGUUCUUGAUGCUGCCUAUCUUACUUGGGGCUGGGAUGCAAUACUUUAUUCAAAUAAUGGCAGAUAAAUGCCAAAUUAUCUGUACAAUCUACUACUUGGCUAUCUGCCUAUUUGAUGUUAAACUUUGAUUAUUAUGAUCUACUAUAUGUUUGGAAAUUUAGCAUGGCCAAUUUGUGAAAGGAAAAUACGCAUGUUUGAACUUUUCUAAGUUAAAGCUGAAUUCCAAGUUACUGUAAAAUCUUGCCAACUUGCUUUCCUUGAAAAUAAAGAUUAGAAAUAUCCAAAUUUUGGAUUGUAAUGAUUUUCCUGGAUUUUACUUCAUCAUAGUGUAGAUAUAUGUUGAAAUAUUUUCAGCCUUUUUGAGUUCCACGAAUGUGACAUGAAUGAAAUCUGUGAACCAUAUUUUAGCUCAAGCUGUUUCUCAACAAGACCUGGAGGACACUGGAUUGAAAAUAUAGUUUCUCAACAUACUACAUUGUCACUGCAACUUGAGUGGUUAAAUGAUAAAAGGUGAGUAUGUGUUGUUCAGAAAUAAGAAUAAUUGCAUAAAUUGUGAAGUUCACAAUACCAUUCAGGAGGCUAAAUUGACACAUUAAAAAACUUUCAAAUUCCUUCACCAACAAGGCACCAGUGGUCUUGUGGUAGAAUAAUACCCUGCCACGUAACAGACCCAGGUAUAGUAAUUAGCCCCACCUUCGAACACUUUUUAUUGUUGCCUUCUUUUGAUUAGUUCCAAAUCCUGCUUUAUUUUGUUAGUCCAUGGUACAAAGUACAAAACAGCAACACCAUUAACUCUCUUACGCCCUCCUUUAAUAAGAGUUAAGCUAAGCUACAAAGAGAGGAAAAGCUAACAGCUUUUCCAAAGAUGGCAGAAAAGAACAGAAUCCAAGUUCCAAGAGUGAAAUUUGGAUUUCCGAUUUGUAGUUUUCAUUUUUCUUUUUGUAUUUUUUUUCCUUCAAUGCUGAUAAUUUGUUUUCUCUGACUGUGUUUUUGUGCUUUCACAGGUUUCAAAGCUGGGCUUUGGAUGCAUGAGCCUGAGCGGAGGUUACAAUUCUCGGGUCUCUGAAGAGGAUGGCAUCUCAAUAAUGAAGCAUGCUUUCAACGAAGGAAUCACUUUCUUUGAUACUGCUGAUAGAUAUGGACCAUAUAUACUAAUGAAAUUCUUCUUAGAAAGGUAAUGAUUAUGAAAAUGGAAUAAAAUGAAGUUAUCUUAUCAUGGAAUAACAUUUUAAAAGAAAAUCCAAAAUAAAAAUAGGUUAUGUUUAUGCCAAAAUUUUAAAUAAAAAAAUAUAAAUUAGUAAUUAAAUUAACUUAACAAGGAUAAUGUUGCCGUAUUACACACAAAAAUAUAUUUUAUUUUGAUGAAUAUUUAACGUUUGUAAAAUAAAUUAAAUUAAUUAGGAGUAAUAUGGACUUCUUAUUAUAAAAUAACUUAAAUUGUUAGGGUAAGAGUUGAUUGUAGCAUUAUUAAAUUUAAAGGCGUAACUAGUAUUUCUAACUUAUGCUUGAGGAUGGAAUCUGUAAUUUUUCCAUGCAAAUAAGAAAUGUGUUUGUUUAAGGUAUUGGUAAAUAGCUACUCUUAGACAUUACUAAGAAAAUCAUAAGGUGGAAAUCAAAUCAUUGUUAAAAUUAUGUCAAUUUAUUUGGGGGGGAAAAAGUUCACUCCUUUCUAGUUUCUAGCCUUGAAGCAGUUGCCUAGGUUACAAGAUCAGCCACAAAGUUUGGGAUUACAGAAAUAGAUACCCCUGAGUAUGUACUCUGUUUUGUCGUGAAGCAAGCUUGAAGCACCUUGAUUUGAUUAUUAAUUGGUUUGACUUUCCUCUAAUCUUUUGGGUAAUUUCUAUAUAUGCUUUCACUAAAAACAAAUAAAUUUGCAAAGAAUACAUACAUAGAUAACUUUCUUUCAAAAUAAAAAUGAAAAAAAAAUGACGAAGAGAAAUUAUGAAUAUGAUGAUUCUUUUAAAAAAAAACUAUUAAUUGGUUUGACUUUCCUCUAAUAUUUUGGGUAAUUUCUAUAUAAGCUUUCACUAAAAACAAAUAAAUUUGCAAAGAAUACAUACAUAGAUAACUUUCUUUCAAAAUUUAAAAUAAAUAAAAAAUGACAAGGAGAAAUUAUGAAUAUGAUGAUUCUUUAAAUAAAAAAUUUUACUGAUUUUCUAACAGCACAAAAUGCUUGAGAGGAAGAGAUUCUCAUAAAUCAAAUGUGAAAGGAUUAUGUUACCAUAAUAUAAAUAUGAAAAUGAAUUUUUCAUUUCUACUUAGAGCCUUGGGCCCAAACAAUUUUUUUUUUCAAGUAUAAUACUUGAAUAGUUCCAACAAAUGAUCGGACUAAUGACAUACACAAUACUUGAAUUUUCAGUAUAGAUUUAUAUUGAUGCAACAAAAUUGAUUCUCAUCUUCAUAGGCUAAGAAAUACAAAUCCAUUACUCAACUAAAAUUAUGGCGCAGAAGUUUUUGUUUUUGUUAAGGUUAAAAAAUGAGCAUAAAAGUAUACAUUUAACUAAUAAAUAAUUAGAAAAUUGAUAAAAUUAUUAAUUUUUUUUAGAAAAUUGAUUGAACUAGUCUGCAACAUUAAGUUUCAACAUAUCGUCCAAGGAUAGCCUAGCCAAGUUGGUAGCAAGAGAUUAAAUGUUCCAAUUUAAGGGGAUAUUCAUAGAUGUAAUCUGAAACAAAAAUGAAAUAAAAGUAAAAAUAAGCAAAUAAUAAAGUAAAAUCAGAAUCGAAUAAGAAUGCUAAGUUUUUAAAGAGGAGAGAAAUUACAAGUUAAGACAAGUUCUUCUUUCUUUGCAAACACACCCCUAAAAGAUUGCUAGGUUUGAACUCAAAAUAUUUCUUGAUGCUGCCUUAGUAGCUAUCUAACGCUUGGGGUCGGGAUCAAUACUUUAUUCAAAUAAAUGCUAAAUUAUCAAUAAAUUCUACUACAUGACUCUCUGCCUAUUGGAUGGUAAUUUGUAAAUUUAAUUCUGCCGAUUUUGUGAACUGAAAUUAUCUUUCGUUGUUAACUAGAAGUUAUAGCCUCAAGUUGCAAUAAAAUUUUGGCAAAUAGAGAUUGCAAAAUCCACCAGGAAAAUGCAGGGUGGCUUUUAUGUAUUUUAAUUCAGAUUGCUAUGUUGUUGCUACAUAACUACCAUGUACCGAAUCAAAUGUAAACGCUUAAGGCUAUUUCUAGUAAAUAAUCUCCUAAAUUAAAAGAUGAAUUUGUUCCUACCUCCUUUUGGAGUUUUGGGUUCUGAUGCAGUGACUAUUCAAAUAUUGUUCUAAAAAAUUUAGAUACUUGACAUUCAAACUAUUAUGAAUAGUUAAUGGUCUUUACAUUGCUUGUAUUAUGAGGUCGGCAUGAGCCCUCAAUCAAAGAAGACACAAAGCCAUUGCAUUUGCAUUCAAGGGUAACAUAGGAGCCUAAAAUUUGCCACAAGAACAAAUAGAAACUACGGAAUAUACACUAUUGUGUUCAAAAUUCGUUCAAUUAAAAUAACGUUGUGGCACGUAUAUAAUUUAUGUUAUUAGAGAAAGUUUUUGAUGAGACUAACAUACCAUGUUAUCAUACGUUUAUCCAAUAGAAUUGUAACAUAUAUCCAUUUUGAAGUUGACCAACCAUGAAAGUGAGAGGAAACAAAAUUAAAACUUGGUGACACAAAAUAUAUUAUAUGGUCAAAUCGAGACUGUAAAUUUCUCUCCUAAGUUCUACCUGACAUUUUGCAAAGUCUAGGGGAUGUUUCUUAACUUUUAAAAUAUUUUGAACUUGUUUCCAAUUACACUGAACUUUGGGACACUUGUCAAAACGUUAUAAGUUCCUGAUUAAUCAUUGAUAACGAUAAAGAGCACGUGUCCCAGCUUAACACUUUUAGUCAUACGGAGCCGUCGAGUUGGAUAAGCCAAACCAGAAUCCUGUGUCUCAUUCUCCUCAUUGUUGACGUUAGAGUCAGCUGUCUCUCUACUUAUUGAAACUUGAAAGACACCCAAAACAAAGAAACCAAAACUACAGCUUCAAAAAUGGCAGAAGAGAAACUCCAAGUUCCAAGGGUGAAACUUGGUACCCAAGGCCUCGAGGUAAACUACCCAUAUGUAAUUUUUUUUUUAAAUCAAAUCCUGGAAAUUUGUUUUCUACAAUUGUGUGUUUUUCACGCUCUUACAGGUUUCAAAGUUGGGGCUUGGAUGCAUGAACCUGAGUGGAGGUUAUAGCUCUCCAGUCUCAGAAGAUGAUGGCAUCUCAAUGAUAAAACAUGCUUUCAGUAGAGGAAUCACUUUCUUUGAUACUGCUGAUAUGUACGGACAAAAUGCUAAUGAAAUUCUUCUGGGAAAGGUUAUGGUCAUUUCUUUGAAUUCUCUUACCUCUUAUAUAAUUCAGACAUAGGUCAAGUGGUAACUUAAGAAUCACAGUCCUGAUGAAAUAUGUUUGUUUAAGAAUUGGUGAAUAAUUACUUUUGUAUCAUAGAAGGAAAGCCUGGUCAGAUUUUUUUGAAUCUUAUUCCUUCGAUUUCAGGCCUUCAAGAUGUUGCCCAGAGAAAAGGUACAAAUAGCCACAAAGUUUGGGGUUGUAGGACUAAGAGAUAAUGGCGUGAUCGUGAAGGGCACCCCUGAUUACGUGCGCUCGUGUUGUGAAGCUAGCUUGAAGCGACUUGAUGUGGAUUACAUUGAUCUAUAUUAUCAACAUAGAGUGGACACAUCAGUCCCCAUAGAGGAAACCGUGAGCGAUUUGUUUUUUUUUUUUAUUUUUUUUUUUGGGCUAUCUGAAUUGUAGAGUUCUGUCCCAAAUUUCAAAAUUUAAAGAAUUAUUUUAGAAACUCUAUUACUUGUCAUGCUAUAGGUUGGCGAAAUGAAGAAGCUGGUGGAAGAGGGUAAAAUCAAGUACAUUGGAUUAUCUGAGGCCAGCCCAGACACAAUUAGGAGGGCACAUGCUGUUCAUCCCAUCACAGCUGUACAAAUGGAAUGGUCCCUCUGGACUCGUGAUAUUGAGGAAGAGAUAAUACCCCUCUGCAGGUUUGUUCUUCUUUUAGUGAACACUAUCCGCAUUAGUCUUUUCUUCUACAGGCCUUUGAAGGGUGUCUAAGGACCUAUUUAUUUGUUCCAAUCUAGUAUUUUGUACCUAAUGUUUGUAGAAUUUUUUAAAUUUAAUUGCAUGCAUAGAGUAGAUUAGAUUUUCUGUGCAAGUGUAUGCUAAUAAAUACAAGGCUGCCCUUCUGAUACAUUGAGGUGGGCAGGGAACUCGGCAUUGGAAUAGUUCCAUACAGUCCUCUUGGUCAUGGAUUUUUUGGUGGCAAAGCUGUUGUGGAGAGUGUACCUGCAGAUAGCUUUUUGGUACUUUUUCCAAUCAAUGUUUAUCCGCAUCAUUUUGUUUCGUAAGUCAGUACUAUAUAAAAUGUUUUAAACUAGCAAAAGUAGUUUUACAGUUUCUUUAACUGUUUUAUAUAUCGUCGUACAUAUGAAAAUGAUAUGUGUGUUUGUUUUAUAAGCAUUUUCUUCCUAGGUUCAAAGGAGAGAACCUGGACAGGAACAAGAGUAUUUAUUUUCGCAUAGAGAACCUUGCCAAAAAGUACAAUUGCACUUCUGCUCAACUAGCCCUAGCAUGGGUUCUUGGACAGGGGGAUGAUGUCGUACCUAUUCCCGGUAACUUCUUUCUUUCGAGUUUUUGAUUCAUGUAUUGCCUUGAAGAAGUAUAUAGAGUUUAAAAAACCCAGCGGAUAAAAUGAUAUUACCAGCAAUAUUACUUACUGUUAAGUUGCUUCAAUUUUCAGGGACAACUAAGAUUAAAAACCUUGAUGACAAUAUUGACUCCUUGAGGAUUAAACUUACAAAAGAGGAUCUGAAAGAAAUUUCUGACGCUGUGCCCGUAGAAGAGGUAGCAGGAGACAGAGACCCGGAAGGCUUUGAUAAAGCAUCGUGGAAGUUUGCAAACACACCUCCAAAAGACUGCAAGGUUUGAACUUAAAAUAGUUCUUGAUGCUGCCUAUCUUACUUGGAGCUGGGAUGCAAUAGUUUAUUCAAAUAAUGGCAGAUAAAUGCCAAAUUAUCUGUACAAUCUACGACUUGGCUAUCUGCCUAUUUGAUGUUAAACUUUGAUUAUUACGAUCUACUAUAUGUUUGGAAAUUUAGCAUGGCCAAUUUGUGAAAUGAAAAUAUGCAUGUUUGAACUUUUCUAAGUUAAAGCUGAAUUCCAAGUUACUAUAAAAGCUUGCCAACUCUCUUUCCUUGAAAAUAAAGAUUGGAAAUAUCCAAAUUUUGGAUUGUAACAAUUUGCUUGGAUUUUACUUCAUCAUUGUAU
Molecule: long non-coding RNA, 6608 nt
Filed under: Citrus maxima (pomelo)
Lineage: Eukaryota; Viridiplantae; Streptophyta; Magnoliopsida; Sapindales; Rutaceae
Description: long non-coding RNA (CMAX_LNC001493)
Source: RNAcentral